This 3511-nucleotide long non-coding RNA is filed under the name Sus scrofa (pig). Its description in RNAcentral is "lncRNA (ENSSSCG00005045036.1)". The record is from RNAcentral. Lineage: Eukaryota; Metazoa; Chordata; Mammalia; Artiodactyla; Suidae.
ACCUUUAUAUAAACAGUUUAUUUACUCUAAACAGCAACACAGACAAACGCCAUAUAAACACAAAGGAAGUGAUGCGGAGACGCGACGCUGGCUGACUGGAUCCGAGGCUCGUAAGCAACACAAGCCAGGCUCUGGGAGGGCGGCGGCGGCGGGGGCAGGUCUGAUUUUCUGUCGUGCAGCCAGCUGGAGGCUAAGUGCAGCUCUAGACGGUGUGAAGCAUGCCUGCAUCCGCGAGCAAAGGGGACUAGCUCCUCGGGACUCAUCCAAGUAUAAAAGUUUAUAAUUUUACAGCAGUUGAAAUACUGACAUCAAUAUUAAAAUAAAAGCAAGUUUUACAUAACAAUCAAAAAUACAAAAGACUGAAGGAAGAGACCCUGUAUGAAAAACGGGGCGAUUCUGCGAGUCGAGACUGUGCCCGUGGCGGAAAUGGCAAUGGCGCCCGCCCAACCCUCCCCGGGUGACCAGGAUUGCAGAGAGCAACGUGAGAUUCGCCAAAUGCUGUAAACAAGUUCUUGCCAAACCAAUCCCUUCCUUUUCAUGAUGCCACAAGGUCGCUGCUUAUGAGGGAGCAAACUUCUUGGCUUGUGCUCGAACCCUUUUCUCGUAUUCCACUCUGUUUUGGCUGAGGAGGUCAAGAGAGAGACGGGUUAGAAGGCGCGGUCUCGGGGCACCGGUGCCAGGGCAAAGCGGGGGGACAGGGCGGCCCCGCGGGGUCACGCCUGCAGUGACCGGCAGCUUCCUUCUCUCUGUGAAGCAGCGCCCGUCACAGCGUCACUGGAAGGGCCAGACGGGGAAGGGGUCUCAGCACCGGGCCUGCCCUCAGCUCAGGGCCCCGGGGAAACUUGUGGCAGCUUACGCGGGCCGGGUAGGACCUGGGCUGGGCUCCAGAGUGAGAACCCCUGCUGAGAAAAGGGCCGAGGACAUGACAACAAGGACAGAUGGGGCUCCUGCAUGCCUGACACCCUAGUUGAGAAAGCUGAGGGUCCUUCCGAGCUCUGCAGGCACGGCCCCUGGCAGUGUGGUUGCCUGUAGCUCCCCAGCUGUGCCACAGCACACAGGCCCUGAGCCCCACCCUGCAGCUCUCUGGGGAAGGGUUGGCAGUGCCAGUGCCAGGAGAGGCGGAGCUGGGGAGCGAGGCCACAGGAUCAGCCUCUGCAGUGGUCUGCGCGGACCCUGGCCCUGGGCAGAGGCAGCAGGCUGGGAGAAGCAGGGACUGCCAAGUCCAGCUCUGCCGUUUACCAAGCGAGGCUGGGAUGGGGCUGCAGGCACCUGCCAGGCGAGGACACGUCCUGUCACCUUCUGGGAGUGAAGGGAUAACAGCAUCGGGCAGGUCACAUGUCCAGGGUACCCAGGAAAAGGCCGCUAGCCCUGGUGAGCGCCAACCGCCCAGCCUCGGUGCCUGACAGCGUGGACCAGUGCCCACAGCACUGUGGCCACCUGCUGUCUACACGGGCGCUGCUGUCAGCCUGGGUGCCACGCCCCAGCUCUCCGUGUGGGCCUUCUCGGCCGCAGGGGCUCGGCCCAAAUGCACACCCAGCGCCUCGUGUACAAAGAGCGGAUGGGAGGCUGUAGAGACACCACGCGGCCCUGGCUCAAGCUAUCUGUGCGCCCAUAACGAACCUGAGCUCCACUAGGGUCCCUGAAUCACCUCCCCGCUAGAAUCCCCUGGGGGGAGCCCCUCCCCCGGAUUGGGACCUGGCCCCCUGGGUCAACCCCGGGUCAGGACCCUGGGGUGCUGGCUGCUUGGCGCGUCCCGAGGACAGUCGCAGCCCCAGCUUCCCUCCCCCCCCGACCCACUCCAGGAACAGGCACCUGCCCGGCCUGUCCCGGAGGCCAGCCCCUCGGGUCCCAGGCCGCUGAGGCACCUGGGGAGUGUCGUCGGGAAACUCGCGCUGUCCCGUGGGCAGAUGGGACAGUGGGGCUCAGAGCCUCCGGCCUGCCUAGGGCCCGUCCAGCCCAGCUCUGAGGAGAACCAGAGCCAAGCCCGGGGCUCCAGGUUUAACCACUGCUCGCCCCCAAUGAGUCACAGAGGGGACAUCAGAGCAGCUGGGUGGCCAAGAGUGGCCUGAAUCCCUGCCCCAUGGGAGCACGGGAGGCACCACACCCAGGCUGGACCAGCGUGUGGCAGGAGCGCCAAGGGGGGCAAGUCUGGGUCCCUGGCUGAGCUGGGCUGCGGGACGCCCCUUUUUCAGGGCCCAGGCCCAGGGGGUCAUUCCCUGAGCUGGACCAGGGCUGUUAAGACCUCACCUCCGACACAAAGCGGCCAACACCCGAACGCCGCCCCCCGCCCCCGCCGGCCUAGAGCAGAGACUCCAGGCGGCCAAUGCGAGGCUGCACCAGGUGGGGCCGGAGCGCUACUAACCAGUAGAUCGUGUAGGCCUCUGCUUGAGCUGGAUCUUGGAUAUUUGGUUCAUUUAGAAGUUCCUGUAUUCCUAACAAGAUCUGCGUAAGAGACAAAACAAACAGCCCAGUGGGAGGCUAGCGCUUUGAACGGCAAACCUGCCUAGGACAGCGGCCUCGGUCCCGGAGACCAGAGGCGGGCGCGCGCUGUGUACCUGCUUAAUCGUGAUGGCCGGCCUCCAGUCCUUGUCCUCCUCCAGGAUGGACAGGCACACCGUGCCCGAAGGGUACACGUUCGGGUGGAAUAACGGCGGCUCGAACUUGCCUGGGGCACAGGGAAGGAACACAGCUUGAUGGACUGACAAAAACAAACUCACCUGCUCACACCAGCAGCUUCAAGAAAACUCCCCCCAUCACACACCACCCUGCCUGUCCUGUCACCCCAGCUCGCAACCCCCCGAGGACUCCUGGCUCUCAGGGUCAUGUGUGCAGUUCCCACACCCGUGCUGUGCGGGCCUUGUUGGGGGAAGCUGUGCCGAGGACUUGCCCACAGCGCCCGCCGCAGGGGCGCAUCUGAGCCACAACAAAGCUGUGCACGUCCCUCGAGGCAAAUCCUGAUGUGUGCGCAUUUUUUUUUUUUUUUUUUAAGGGCCGCACCCAUGGCGUAUGGAGGUUCCCAGGCUAGGGGUUGAAUCAGAGUUUUAGCUGCCAGCCUACACCACAGCCACACGGAUCUGAACUGUGUCUGCGACCCACUCAACAGCUCACAGCAACGUCAGAUCCUUAACCCACUAAGUAAGGCCAGGGAUCAAACCGGUGUCCUCAUGGAUACUCAUCAGAUUUGUCUCUAGUGAGCCAUGACGGGAAUGCCAGUGUGUGCGCACUUCUACGGGAAGACACUGGCUUGCACGGGGUCUCUGCUGAAACUGCAGACACCACUGCUUUCCAACGGCUGUGCCAGUGUACAGCGCCAAGAUGCUGCCAGCACCCGUGGUUCAGUCAUGGCAUUCGGCCACUCUUGCGGUUCUGCUUUGCGUUUUCUGGAUCCUCUUUCACUCCCUGCGAUGCGGUGACUGCUUCCUUGCUCAAACCUUGCAUGCUUUUCUUGUCGACACUCCUUACACACGCGGGACGCAGGUCCGUUGUCAGUUAUCUGCCUCCCAAACGCCUU